AGACCCGAAACCCGGUGAUCUAGCCAUGGGCAGGUUGAAGGUUGGGUAACACUAACUGGAGGACCGAACCGACUAAUGUUGAAAAAUUAGCGGAUGACCUGUGGCUGGGGGUGAAAGGCCAAUCAAACCGGGAGAUAGCUGGUUCUCCCCGAAAGCUAUUUAGGUAGCGCCUCGUGAAUUCAUCUCCGGGGGUAGAGCACUGUUUCGGCUAGGGGGCCAUCCCGGCUUACCAACCCGAUGCAAACUGCGAAUACCGGAGAAUGUUAUCACGGGAGACACACGGCGGGUGCUAACGUCCGUCGU
Molecule: ribosomal RNA, 303 nt
Filed under: Salmonella enterica subsp. enterica serovar Infantis
Lineage: Bacteria; Pseudomonadati; Pseudomonadota; Gammaproteobacteria; Enterobacterales; Enterobacteriaceae
Also listed under: 3 other names
Description: partial 23S ribosomal RNA
Rfam family: Bacterial large subunit ribosomal RNA
Source: RNAcentral